UACGUAGGUGACAAGCGUUGUCCGGAUUUACUGGGCGUAAAGGGCGCGUAGGCGGCCACCGCAAGUCAAUUGUGAAAUCUCCGGGCUUAACUCGGAAAGGUCAACUGAUACUGCGGGGCUAGAGUGCGGAAGGGGCAACUGGAAUUCUCGGUGUAGCGGUGAAAUGCGUAGAUAUCGAGAGGAACACCUGCGGCGAAGGCGGGUUGCUGGGCCGACACUGACGCUGAGGCGCGAAAGCCAGGGGAGCGAACGGG
This 254-nucleotide ribosomal RNA is filed under the name uncultured bacterium. RNAcentral describes it as "partial 16S ribosomal RNA". It matches the Rfam family "Bacterial small subunit ribosomal RNA", at positions 524 to 776 of the family's 1533-position model. The record is from RNAcentral.